UACAGAGGUCUCAAGCGUUGUUCGGAUUCAUUGGGCGUAAAGGGCUCGUAGGCGGCCAACUAAGUCAGACGUGAAAUCCCUCAGCUUAACUGGGGAACUGCGUCUGAUACUGGAUGGCUUGGAUUUGGGAGAGGGAUGCGGAAUUCCAGGUGUAGCGGUGAAAUGCGUAGAUAUCAGGAGGAACACCAAUGGCGAAGGCAGCUCGCUGGGACGUGACUGACGCUGAGACGCGAAAGCGUGGGGAGCAAACAGG
RNAcentral lists this ribosomal RNA (253 nucleotides) under uncultured bacterium. RNAcentral's name for it is "partial 16S ribosomal RNA". It matches the Rfam family "Bacterial small subunit ribosomal RNA", at positions 524 to 776 of the family's 1533-position model. The record is from RNAcentral.